RNAcentral lists this ribosomal RNA (492 nucleotides) under uncultured bacterium. RNAcentral's name for it is "partial 16S ribosomal RNA". It matches the Rfam family "Bacterial small subunit ribosomal RNA", at positions 29 to 507 of the family's 1533-position model. The record is from RNAcentral.
AGUGAACGCUGGCGGUAGGCCUAACACAUGCAAGUCGAACGGCAGCACAGUAAGAGCUUGCUCUUACGGGUGGCGAGUGGCGGACGGGUGAGGAAUACAUCGGAAUCUACUUUUUCGUGGGGGAUAACGUAGGGAAACUUACGCUAAUACCGCAUACGACCUACGGGUGAAAGCAGGGGAUCUUCGGACCUUGCGCGAUUGAAUGAGCCGAUGUCGGAUUAGCUAGUUGGCGGGGUAAAGGCCCACCAAGGCGACGAUCCGUAGCUGGUCUGAGAGGAUGAUCAGCCACACUGGAACUGAGACACGGUCCAGACUCCUACGGGAGGCAGCAGUGGGGAAUAUUGGACAAUGGGCGCAAGCCUGAUCCAGCCAUACCGCGUGGGUGAAGAAGGCCUUCGGGUCGUAAAGCCCUUUUGUUGGGAAAGAAAAACAGCAGGUUAAUACCCCGCUGUUCUGACGGUACCCAAAGAAUAAGCACCGGCUAACUUCGUG